This 464-nucleotide ribosomal RNA is filed under the name Vreelandella stevensii. RNAcentral's name for it is "partial 16S ribosomal RNA". It matches the Rfam family "Bacterial small subunit ribosomal RNA", at positions 338 to 794 of the family's 1533-position model. The record is from RNAcentral. Lineage: Bacteria; Pseudomonadati; Pseudomonadota; Gammaproteobacteria; Oceanospirillales; Halomonadaceae.
CCUACGGGGCGCAGCAGUGGGGAAUAUUGGACAAUGGGCGAAAGCCUGAUCCAGCCAUGCCGCGUGUGUGAAGAAGGCCUUCGGGUUGUAAAGCACUUUCAGUGGGGAAGAAAGCCUUGGGGCUAAUACCCUCGAGGAAGGACAUCACCCACAGAAGAAGCACCGGCUAACUCCGUGCCAGCAGCCGCGGUAAUACGGAGGGUGCGAGCGUUAAUCGGAAUUACUGGGCGUAAAGCGCGCGUAGGCGGUCUGAUAAGCCGGUUGUGAAAGCCCCGGGCUCAACCUGGGAACGGCAUCCGGAACUGUCAGGCUAGAGUGCAGGAGAGGAAGGUAGAAUUCCCGGUGUAGCGGUGAAAUGCGUAGAGAUCGGGAGGAAUACCAGUGGCGAAGGCGGCCUUCUGGACUGACACUGACGCUGAGGUGCGAAAGCGUGGGUAGCAAACAGGAUUAGAUACCCUUGUAGU